This 648-nucleotide long non-coding RNA is filed under the name Olea europaea subsp. europaea. The record is from RNAcentral. Lineage: Eukaryota; Viridiplantae; Streptophyta; Magnoliopsida; Lamiales; Oleaceae.
AAGUAAAUGAAUUCUAUUAAAAAAUGUAAAUAAAAAAAUUACAAUAUACGGGUAAUAUGCAAAAGCAUUGAGAGCUAGAAAAGAAGUAUUUCUACCAUUAGCCGACAAUGCAUUAAUAUUGCAAGAUUUUUGCGUUCUCCCUUUUUCCCAUUUUUCUUUUUUUCUUUUGUGAUUCAUUUAUUGAAUUUAUAGGCAUGUUGUGUGUAAAAAGAAAAAAAAAAAAAAAAAACUCCUAUGCUAUCUUGAUUCAGUAUACCACAACUCGAAGGAGUUCGGUUGUGGCUCGGCGUAGUCGUGGCCUUCCUCCUCUUGUAGGUAGUGCUAAACAGUAGCAGGUAGUCUAACAGGAGUACGUGAACCCCUUGUGUGGUGACCUGUCCCGACAUAUAUGUAGAGCAAUCAUUGGUCUGCUAACCUGGCAACGUCCUUCAUUACAGAAAGCUCACACUUGAGGACAUGAAUAGCUUCACUCACAUGUAGCAAUUGCAGGUCAAUUAUCUUCCCUCUCCUGUUGACCUGCAUCUCCGGAUUCUUGCACAAUAUUUCAUCAUGUGAAUCAAAAAUUGUUGGACUCGGAGGAAUUAUAAUGAAUGAGAUUAAUGACACAAUAUGAAGUAAUAAAAAUCAUAACAAGAAACAAGUUUAAAA